RNAcentral lists this ribosomal RNA (841 nucleotides) under Heyndrickxia coagulans. RNAcentral's name for it is "bacterial SSU rRNA". It matches the Rfam family "Bacterial small subunit ribosomal RNA", at positions 106 to 932 of the family's 1533-position model. The record is from RNAcentral. Lineage: Bacteria; Bacillati; Bacillota; Bacilli; Caryophanales; Bacillaceae.
GUGAGUAACACGUGGGCAACCUGCCUGUAAGAUCGGGAUAACGCCGGGAAACCGGGGCUAAUACCGGAUAGUUUUUUCCUCCGCAUGGAGGAAAAAGGAAAGACGGCUUUUGCUGUCACUUACAGAUGGGCCCGCGGCGCAUAGCUAGUUGGUGGGGUAACGGCUCACCAAGGCAACGAUGCGUAGCCGACCUGAGAGGGUGAUCGGCCACAUUGGGACUGAGACACGGCCCAAACUCCUACGGGAGGCAGCAGUAGGGAAUCUUCCGCAAUGGACGAAAGUCUGACGGAGCAACGCCGCGUGAGUGAAGAAGGCCUUCGGGUCGUAAAACUCUGUUGCCGGGGAAGAACAAGUGCCGUUCGAACAGGGCGGCGCCUUGACGGUACCCGGCCAGAAAGCCACGGCUAACUACGUGCCAGCAGCCGCGGUAAUACGUAGGUGGCAAGCGUUGUCCGGAAUUAUUGGGCGUAAAGCGCGCGCAGGCGGCUUCUUAAGUCUGAUGUGAAAUCUUGCGGCUCAACCGCAAGCGGUCAUUGGAAACUGGGAGGCUUGAGUGCAGAAGAGGAGAGUGGAAUUCCACGUGUAGCGGUGAAAUGCGUAGAGAUGUGGAGGAACACCAGUGGCGAAGGCGGCUCUCUGGUCUGUAACUGACGCUGAGGCGCGAAAGCGUGGGGAGCAAACAGGAUUAGAUACCCUGGUAGUCCACGCCGUAAACGAUGAGUGCUAAGUGUUAGAGGGUUUCCGCCCUUUAGUGCUGCAGCUAACGCAUUAAGCACUCCGCCUGGGGGAGUACGGCCGCAAGGCUGAAACUCAAAGGAAUUGACGGGGGCCGCACAAGCGG